This 465-nucleotide ribosomal RNA is filed under the name uncultured bacterium. RNAcentral describes it as "bacterial SSU rRNA". It matches the Rfam family "Bacterial small subunit ribosomal RNA", at positions 28 to 507 of the family's 1533-position model. The record is from RNAcentral.
GAUGAACGCUGGCGGCGUGCUUAACACAUGCAAGUCGAACGAAGUGGAUGUCUUCGGACUGAAACUUAGUGGCGGACGGGUGAGUAACGCGUGGGUAACCUGCCUCGUACAGGGGGAUAACAGUUAGAAAUGACUGCUAAUACCGCAUAACCCGCUAAGGUCGCAUGACCUGGACGGAAAAGAUUUAUCGGUACGAGAUGGACCCGCGUCUGAUUAGCUAGUUGGUGAGGUAACGGCUCACCAAGGCGACGAUCAGUAGCCGGCCUGAGAGGGUGAACGGCCACAUUGGGACUGAGACACGGCCCAAACUCCUACGGGAGGCAGCAGUGGGGAAGUAUUGCACAAUGGGGGAAACCCGUGAUGCAGCGACGCCGCGUGAGCGAAGAAGUAUUUCGGUAUGUAAAGCUCUAUCAGCAGGGAAGAAAAUAGACGGUACCUGACUAAGAAGCACCGGCUAAAUACGUG